AGUGGCGAACGGGUGAGUAACACGUGAGUAACCUGCCCUUGACUCUGGGAUAAGCCUGGGAAACUGGGUCUAAUACCGGAUAUGACCGUCUGACGCAUGUCAGGUGGUGGAAAGCUUUUGUGGUUUUGGAUGGACUCGCGGCCUAUCAGCUUGUUGGUGGGGUAAUGGCCUACCAAGGCGACGACGGGUAGCCGGCCUGAGAGGGUGACCGGCCACACUGGGACUGAGACACGGCCCAGACUCCUACGGGAGGCAGCAGUGGGGAAUAUUGCACAAUGGGCGCAAGCCUGAUGCAGCGACGCCGCGUGAGGGAUGACGGCCUUCGGGUUGUAAACCUCUUUCAGUAGGGAAGAAGCGAAAGUGACGGUACCUGCAGAAGAAGCGCCGGCUAACUACGUGCCAGCAGCCGCGGUAAUACGUAGGGCGCAAGCGUUAUCCGGAAUUAUUGGGCGUAAAGAGCUCGUAGGCGGUUUGUCGCGUCUGCUGUGAAAGACCGGGGCUCAACUCCGGUUCUGCAGUGGGUACGGGCAGACUAGAGUGCAGUAGGGGAGACUGGAAUUCCUGGUGUAGCGGUGAAAUGCGCAGAUAUCAGGAGGAACACCGAUGGCGAAGGCAGGUCUCUGGGCUGUAACUGACGCUGAGGAGCGAAAGCAUGGGGAGCGAACAGGAUUAGAUACCCUGGUAGUCCAUGCCGUAAACGUUGGGCACUAGGUGUGGGGGACAUUCCACGUUUUCCGCGCCGUAGCUAACGCAUUAAGUGCCCCGCCUGGGGAGUACGGCCGCAAGGCUAAAACUCAAAGGAAUUGACGGGGGCCCGCACAAGCGGCGGAGCAUGCGGAUUAAUUCGAUGCAACGCGAAGAACCUUACCAAGGCUUGACAUGAACCGGAAAGACCUGGAAACAGGUGCCCCGCUUGCGGUCGGUUUACAGGUGGUGCAUGGUUGUCGUCAGCUCGUGUCGUGAGAUGUUGGGUUAAGUCCCGCAACGAGCGCAACCCUCGUUCUAUGUUGCCAGCGCGUUAUGGCGGGGACUCAUAGGAGACUGCCGGGGUCAACUCGGAGGAAGGUGGGGACGACGUCAAAUCAUCAUGCCCCUUAUGUCUUGGGCUUCACGCAUGCUACAAUGGCCGGUACAAAGGGUUGCGAUACUGUGAGGUGGAGCUAAUCCCAAAAAGCCGGUCUCAGUUCGGAUUGGGGUCUGCAACUCGACCCCAUGAAGUCGGAGUCGCUAGUAAUCGCAGAUCAGCAACGCUGCGGUGAAUACGUUCCCGGGCCUUGUACACACCGCCCGUCAAGUCACGAAAGUUGGUA
Molecule: ribosomal RNA, 1310 nt
Filed under: Paenarthrobacter sp.
Lineage: Bacteria; Bacillati; Actinomycetota; Actinomycetes; Micrococcales; Micrococcaceae
Description: bacterial SSU rRNA
Rfam family: Bacterial small subunit ribosomal RNA
Source: RNAcentral